Molecule: ribosomal RNA, 403 nt
Filed under: uncultured bacterium
Lineage: Bacteria
Description: partial 16S ribosomal RNA
Rfam family: Bacterial small subunit ribosomal RNA
Source: RNAcentral
GACGAACGCUGGCGGCGUGCCUAAUACAUGCAAGUCGAACGCAGUGGGGACGGGUGAGUAACACGUGGGUAACCUCCCAUCAGAGGGGAUAACACUUGGAAACAGGUGCUAAACCGAUACUGAUGGAUGGACCCGCGGUGCAUUAGCUAGUUGGUGAGGUAACGGCUCACCAAGGCCACGAUGCAUAGCGGAUCGGAUAGUGUGAUCGGCCACACUGGGACGGAGACACGGCCCAGACUCAUACGGGAGGCAGCAGUGGGUAAUCUGCGGCAAUGGACGAAAGUCUGACGGAGCAACGCCGCGUGAGUGAAGAAGGUUUUCGGAUCGUAAAACUCUGUUGUUAGAGAAGCGGUAUCUAACCAUAAAGCCACGGCUAACUACGUGCCAGCAGCCGCGGUAAUAC